Molecule: ribosomal RNA, 426 nt
Filed under: uncultured bacterium
Lineage: Bacteria
Description: bacterial SSU rRNA
Rfam family: Bacterial small subunit ribosomal RNA
Source: RNAcentral
GUGGGGAAUCUUGCGCAAUGGGCGAAAGCCUGACGCAGCCAUGCCGCGUGAAUGAUGAAGGUCUUAGGAUUGUAAAAUUCUUUCACCGGGGACGAUAAUGACGGUACCCGGAGAAGAAGCCCCGGCUAACUUCGUGCCAGCAGCCGCGGUAAUACGAAGGGGGCUAGCGUUGCUCGGAAUUACUGGGCGUAAAGGGCGCGUAGGCGGACAGUUUAGUCAGAGGUGAAAGCCCAGGGCUCAACCUUGGAAUUGCCUUUGAUACUGGCUGUCUUGAGUACGGGAGAGGUGAGUGGAACUCCGAGUGUAGAGGUGAAAUUCGUAGAUAUUCGGAAGAACACCAGUGGCGAAGGCGACUCACUGGCCCGUUACUGACGCUGAGGCGCGAAAGCGUGGGGAGCAAACAGGAUUAGAUACCCUUGGUAGUCC